UACGGAGGAUGCGAGCGUUAUCCGGAUUUAUUGGGUUUAAAGGGUGCGCAGGCGGGAGAUUAAGUCGGCGGUGAAAUUUUGCAGCUCAACUGUAAAAGUGCCUUCGAAACUGGUUUUCUUGAGUGGAGUAGAGGCAAGCGGAAUUCCGAGUGUAGCGGUGAAAUGCGUAGAUAUUCGGAGGAACACCAGUGGCGAAGGCGGCUUGCUGGGCUCUAACUGACGCUGAGGCCCGAAAGCGUGGGGAGCAAACAGGAUUAGAUACCCGGGUAGUCCCUGAG
RNAcentral lists this ribosomal RNA (278 nucleotides) under uncultured prokaryote. Its description in RNAcentral is "partial 16S ribosomal RNA". It matches the Rfam family "Bacterial small subunit ribosomal RNA", at positions 524 to 801 of the family's 1533-position model. The record is from RNAcentral.